AUGGGAGUGGUAAUUGGGGUCCUGAUCUCACGGUUGACGUGGCCCUCACGUGAGCUGGAGCCGACGCGUGCAGACGUCCUUCUAAUCUUAGUCUUCGUUUGGUCCGGUUGCACUCUCUCUAUCGCCCAGAGGGCGAGAGGGCCUGUGGCCUGGGGGAAGGAGGACGAGGUUACUGCCUGGAUCCCAGCAGUAGGGCGCUGUGCCAUUUGGGAACAAAGGAAUAGUCUGCCUGGAAUCCCUGCAGGAAAAAAGGAUGUAACAGUGCCUGCAGGAAAAGUGCUUGUCAUUGCGGGUAGGGUGCGUUGGGGAGAGGGAUAGAAGAGAUCGGUUGGUUUUGUUUUUCUCCUCGGAUUUUCCAUAUCCCCCCCCCCU
This 372-nucleotide long non-coding RNA is filed under the name Papio anubis (olive baboon). RNAcentral's name for it is "lncRNA (ENSPANG00000049784.1)". Lineage: Eukaryota; Metazoa; Chordata; Mammalia; Primates; Cercopithecidae. The record is from RNAcentral.